UUUCCAUCUUGGAUCAAGGAUAGCAACACGUUGUAAGAGCUGAACAAGAAAAGAAGACAUGAGAGGAGGCUACAAAAGAAAGACACUACUGGGAUCACAGUGAAUCUGAGAUCACAAAACUCUACCCCAUGCUGCUUCCGGGCCUUGGAGCUCCAUGUUAUUUUUCCAGCACACCACCUUCCAUUUGUGAUGAAGAAUGCUACCCAUCAGUGUAAAGAAAAAAGGAGAUGAGGGAACCGCAUGGCCACCUAAUGAUGGGU
Aethalodelphis obliquidens (Pacific white-sided dolphin) is the source of this 260-nucleotide long non-coding RNA. RefSeq lists it as uncharacterized. The transcript is spliced from 3 exons. The record is from RefSeq and is a predicted model, not a curated record. NCBI's taxonomy places the organism in Eukaryota, Metazoa, Chordata, Mammalia, Artiodactyla, Delphinidae.